CCCCUCCCCCAACCCCCGCCCCUGCCCUUCCCGAGGGCGGCUGCCGUGGCCCGGAGAUAAGCGCCCGCCGCGGGGCUCCGCCUGGGCAGUGGCACCGGCUCGGGUACGAGGUGGCAUUUGAGGAAAG
Pipistrellus kuhlii (Kuhl's pipistrelle) is the source of this 127-nucleotide long non-coding RNA. RefSeq lists it as uncharacterized. The transcript is spliced from 3 exons. The record is from RefSeq and is a predicted model, not a curated record. NCBI's taxonomy places the organism in Eukaryota, Metazoa, Chordata, Mammalia, Chiroptera, Vespertilionidae.